UAAAAUAAUUAAUUUCUUAUAAGAAAUUAAUUAUUUUUAGUUGGGGCAACUAGAAAAUAUUAUAAACUUUUUAUAUAAUAAAAUGACCCAUUAUUAAUGAUUAUUUGAGAAAAAUACUCUAGGGAUAACAGCGUAAUAAUUUUUGAUAGAACCUAUAGACAAAAUAGUUUGCGACCUCGAUGUUGGAUUAGGAUACUUUUUUAAUGAAGAUGUUAAAAAAAGGAGUUUGUUCAACUUUUAAAGUCCUACUUGAUCUGAGUUCAGACCGGA
Molecule: ribosomal RNA, 270 nt
Filed under: Dermacentor variabilis (American dog tick)
Lineage: Eukaryota; Metazoa; Arthropoda; Arachnida; Ixodida; Ixodidae
Description: partial 16S ribosomal RNA
Rfam family: Bacterial large subunit ribosomal RNA (bases 124-270)
Source: RNAcentral